GAUGAACGCUGGCGGCGUGCCUAAUACAUGCAAGUCGAGCGAACAGACGAGGAUCUUGCUCCUCUGACGUUAGCGGCGGACGGGUGAGUAACACGUGGAUAACCUACCUAUAAGACUGGGAUAACUUCGGGAAACCGGAUCUAAUACCGGAUAAUAUGGUGAACCGCAUGGUUCAAUAGUGAAAGACGGUUUUGCUGUCACUUAUAGAUGGAUCCGCGCCGGAUUAGCUAGGUGGUAAGGUAACGGCUUACCAAGGCAACGAUGCGUAGCCGACCUGAGAGGGUGAUCAGUCACACUGGAACUGAGACACGGUCCAGACUCCUACGGGAGGCAGCAGUAGGGAAUCUUGCGCAAUGGGCGAAAGCUUGACGGAGCAACGCCGCGUGAGUGAUGAAGGUCUUCGGAUCGUAAAACUCUGUUACUAGGGAAGAACAAAAGUGUAAGUAACUAUGCACGUCUUGACGGUACCUAAUCAGAAAGCCACGGCUAACUACGUG
Molecule: ribosomal RNA, 497 nt
Filed under: uncultured bacterium
Lineage: Bacteria
Description: partial 16S ribosomal RNA
Rfam family: Bacterial small subunit ribosomal RNA
Source: RNAcentral